Molecule: ribosomal RNA, 482 nt
Filed under: Pseudomonas sp. iMTI9
Lineage: Bacteria; Pseudomonadati; Pseudomonadota; Gammaproteobacteria; Pseudomonadales; Pseudomonadaceae
Description: bacterial SSU rRNA
Rfam family: Bacterial small subunit ribosomal RNA
Source: RNAcentral
AGAGUUUGAUCCUGGCUCAGAUUGAACGCUGGCGGCAGGCCUAACACAUGCAAGUCGAGCGGUAGAGAGAAGCUUGCUUCUCUUGAGAGCGGCGGACGGGUGAGUAAUGCCUAGGAAUCUGCCUGGUAGUGGGGGAUAACGUUCGGAAACGGACGCUAAUACCGCAUACGUCCUACGGGAGAAAGCAGGGGACCUUCGGGCCUUGCGCUAUCAGAUGAGCCUAGGUCGGAUUAGCUAGUUGGUGAGGUAAUGGCUCACCAAGGCGACGAUCCGUAACUGGUCUGAGAGGAUGAUCAGUCACACUGGAACUGAGACACGGUCCAGACUCCUACGGGAGGCAGCAGUGGGGAAUAUUGGACAAUGGGCGAAAGCCUGAUCCAGCCAUGCCGCGUGUGUGAAGAAGGUCUUCGGAUUGUAAAGCACUUUAAGUUGGGAGGAAGGGCAGUUACCUAAUACGUGAUUGUUUUGACGUACCGACAGAC